ACUCGAGUGGCGAACGGGUGAGUAACACGUGGGUGAUCUGCCCUGCACUUCGGGAUAAGCCUGGGAAACUGGGUCUAAUACCGGAUAGGAGCCAUUUUUAGUGUGAUGGUUGGAAAGUUUUUUCGGUGUAGGAUGAGCUCGCGGCCUAUCAGCUUGUUGGUGGGGUAAUGGCCUACCAAGGCGGCGACGGGUAGCCGGCCUGAGAGGGUGGACGGCCACAUUGGGACUGAGAUACGGCCCAGACUCCUACGGGAGGCAGCAGUGGGGAAUAUUGCACAAUGGGCGCAAGCCUGAUGCAGCGACGCCGCGUGGGGGAUGACGGCCUUCGGGUUGUAAACUCCUUUCGCUAGGGACGAAGCUUUUUGUGACGGUACCUAGAUAAGAAGCACCGGCUAACUACGUGCCAGCAGCCGCGGUAAUACGUAGGGUGCGAGCGUUGUCCGGAAUUACUGGGCGUAAAGGGCUCGUAGGUGGUUUGUCGCGUCGUCUGUGAAAUUCCGGGCUUAACUCCGGGCGUGCAGGCGAUACGGGCAUAACUUGAGUACUGUAGGGGUAACUGGAAUUCCUGGUGUAGCGGUGAAAUGCGCAGAUAUCAGGAGGAACACCGAUGGCGAAGGCAGGUUACUGGGCAGUUACUGACGCUGAGGAGCGAAAGCAUGGGUAGCGAACAGGA
RNAcentral lists this ribosomal RNA (673 nucleotides) under uncultured Actinomycetales bacterium. RNAcentral describes it as "bacterial SSU rRNA". It matches the Rfam family "Bacterial small subunit ribosomal RNA", at positions 89 to 777 of the family's 1533-position model. Lineage: Bacteria; Bacillati; Actinomycetota; Actinomycetes; Actinomycetales. The record is from RNAcentral.